Molecule: long non-coding RNA, 604 nt
Organism: Gossypium arboreum
Lineage: Eukaryota; Viridiplantae; Streptophyta; Magnoliopsida; Malvales; Malvaceae
Exons: 2
Source: RefSeq, a predicted model, not a curated record
UGAGCCCCUAAACUGCAUCAGCACUAGAGGUAAAAGCUUCCAAACCAUCUCCGGUGAAAAAAGAAAAAACAUUAAAAGCUCUUUAGAAGCCCUCUGAAAUGUCUGAGUUCUUUAAAAGUAGCUUAAUAUAUUUCUAGUCUCAGCCCUUACUCUCUAAUCCCCCAGUCUCGUUCCCUGUUCAUUCUCUUUCAACCAACUCCACCACAAAAGCCAGGGCUUCCUCUAUCCAGUAUUCCGGUUGUUCGUGGUGCCAUCCUGCUUUGGCCAGAGUAUGCACAGCGCUAUUAGCCAGACUAGGGAGUCUCCUUCCAUAAAGAUAUCUCGAAAGCCCAGAUCUUCCCCAAAUUUGACAGCAUGCAAACACGCCCAGGAAUACAUGAUGCCAUUACAAGUCCCUCUUUAUUUCUAGCAAUAAUACCUGCUCUUGAAAUGUUUGGUUCCUGAUGAAAAGAUGCAUCAAAUUUGAUCUUAAUCUUGUCUUCAUUGGGUGGUUCCCAGUUAACAUUUUUUAGUACUGUUUUUGGCACCAGAACACUUUCCAUUGACUCAUUUUCCAUCAUGUAAGCUUUAAUAAAAGAGACCACCUCACACAUUCGAUUUUAAA